UUGCAUUUGCAACUUGGCAUAUUGAAGAAAUGCAUUUCUUAGCAUCAUUGGCCCUUUUAAUUGCCUCGGCACUUUUAGUUGGGACAUCAAAAAUUAAUACAUGUGACAUAGCAUGUGUGCAGAAUGGUCUCCCCGUAUGCGGGUAUUUUGUAGCUCCAGGCAUACAGAACAUGAAGAUAUGUACUUUUGGCAAUAGCUGUUUAUUGGAAUUACACAAAUGUCGAACCAAAGAAAAUUGGAUAAGUCAGCCGGGGAAAUGCACCUCGGAAAUCGGUUGUAGAAAUGUUAGAAUAGGAUAAUGGAUAAUGGAAUGCUACAAUUCUGAUAAACUAAACUUCUAGUAUAAAUAAACCAAAAACUUAUUCACUAUAAA
Molecule: long non-coding RNA, 373 nt
Organism: Stomoxys calcitrans (stable fly)
Lineage: Eukaryota; Metazoa; Arthropoda; Insecta; Diptera; Muscidae
Exons: 2
Source: RefSeq, a predicted model, not a curated record